AACGCGGCGGCGUGAUAGACAUGCAGUGGACGGGAUUACUUUUGGUAGCAUACCGAAAGUGAUUCAGCUGGCAGGGUGCGUAACACGUGGGCAAUCUACCGAGAAGUGGGGGAUUGCUCGCCGAAAGGCGAAUUAAUACCGCAUGUGAUCAGAGGCGACAUCGCUUCGAAAUCAAAGGUGGCGCAAGCUACCGCUUUUUGAGGAGCCCGCGGCCUAUCAGCUUGUUGGUGAGGUAAUGGCUCACCAAGGCGUUGACGGGUAGCUGGUCUGAGAGGACGACCAGCCACACUGGAACUGAGACACGGUCCAGACACCUACGGGUGGCAGCAGUCGAGAAUUUUUCUCAAUGGGGGAAACCCUGAAGGAGCGACGCCGCGUGGAGGAUGAAGGUCUUCGGAUUGUAAACUCCUGUCAUUGGGGAACAAUGGUUACGCGUUAACUGCGCGUGACUUGAUAGUACCCGAAGAGGAAGAGACGGCUAACUCUGUGCCAGCAG
RNAcentral lists this ribosomal RNA (496 nucleotides) under uncultured soil bacterium. Its description in RNAcentral is "bacterial SSU rRNA". It matches the Rfam family "Bacterial small subunit ribosomal RNA", at positions 39 to 514 of the family's 1533-position model. The record is from RNAcentral.